ACGGGAGGCAGCAGUGGGGAAUAUUGCACAAUGGGGGAAACCCUGAUGCAGCAACGCCGCGUGAGUGAUGACGGUCUUCGGAUUGUAAAGCUCUGUCUUCAGGGACGAUAAUGACGGUACCUGAGGAGGAAGCCACGGCUAGCUACGUGCCAGCAGCCGCGGUAAUACGUAGGUGGCAAGCGUUGUCCGGAUUUACUGGGCGUAAAGGGAGCGUAGGCGGACUUUUAAGUGGGAUGUGAAAUACCCAGGCUUAACCUGGGUGCUGCAUUCCAAACUGGGAGUCUAGAGUGCAGGAGGGGAAAGUGGAAUUCCUAGUGUAGCGGUGAAAUGCGUAGAGAUUAGGAAGAACACCGGUGGCGAAGGCGACUUUCUGGACUGUAACUGACGCUGAGGCUCGAAAGCGUGGGGAGCGAACAGGAUUAGAUACCCUGGUA
This 434-nucleotide ribosomal RNA is filed under the name uncultured Clostridium sp. Its description in RNAcentral is "partial 16S ribosomal RNA". It matches the Rfam family "Bacterial small subunit ribosomal RNA", at positions 341 to 792 of the family's 1533-position model. The record is from RNAcentral. Lineage: Bacteria; Bacillati; Bacillota; Clostridia; Eubacteriales; Clostridiaceae.